RNAcentral lists this long non-coding RNA (522 nucleotides) under Heterocephalus glaber (naked mole-rat). RNAcentral's name for it is "lncRNA (ENSHGLG00100044856.1)". The record is from RNAcentral. Lineage: Eukaryota; Metazoa; Chordata; Mammalia; Rodentia; Bathyergidae.
UGUGUCUGGUUACGGGUUCCCUAGAAGGAGACGUCUUUGUGUGGAACCCAGCCCUGGACUGUUUACCUCACAAACGGUGCUACCACAGCCUUGGGUGCUCCUGCAGGCAAAGCGCAGAGCAUCCUGGGAAAUGUAGUUCCCAUCCGCCUUAUAACUCAGGGGGCCCUUUGUCUCUUCCAGUGGGAGCCUGUGUUGCCUGCUGUGGCCUUGACUGCCUGGGCUCAACCAGUCCUGCCUCAGCCUGCAGAGUAGCCCGGACCUCGGGCGCACUUCACCAAACCCACAGGCCCUGCUUUGGGCGCAGAGCCGGCACCUGGCCUGCCAGGACGUGGCUCUGGCUCUCGAGCCAUCUGGAGGGCAGCGCAGUUCCUAGGGUUGCACGGCACCGAGCAUACUAAGAUGUGACUAACUAAAGACAGUGAGGGCUGGGGAUUUAGUUCAGCGAUUCUACUGCCUGCCUCGAAAACACAAGGACCAGAGUUCGAUCCCGGUACCAAAAAGGAAAAAAAGGAGAGGAAGAAG